RNAcentral lists this long non-coding RNA (213 nucleotides) under Mytilus galloprovincialis (Mediterranean mussel). Lineage: Eukaryota; Metazoa; Mollusca; Bivalvia; Mytilida; Mytilidae. The record is from RNAcentral.
UGUGGUUUUUGUCUUUCUUUCUUUCUUUCUUUCUUUGCUCAAAACUCCCGGGCAUAGAUCUAGAGUAUUCACUUUGUUCAUCCGUUAUCGUGUUUUUGAAACAAAAAACAUCUGUAUACUGACUUGAGCAUUAUUUUGUUCGGAAUGAAACCAUAUAGAUCAAAGAUAUAUAGAAGGGUCAUAUAUAUAAAAAAAGAGCCGUGGUUGCUUCGC